CCUACGGGUGGCAGCAGUGGGGGAUAUUGCACAAUGGGGGAAACCCUGAUGCAGCGACGCCGCGUGAGUGAAGAAGGAUUUCGGGAUGUAAAGCUCUAUCAGCAGGGAAGAAAAGGACAGUACCUGACCAAGAAGCCCCGGCUAACUACGUGCCAGCAGCCGCGGUAAUACGUAGGGGGCAAGCGUUAUCCGGAUUUACUGGGUGGAAAGGGAGCGUAGACGGUUUUGUACGUCUGGAGUGAAAGCCCGGGGCCCAACCCCGGGACUGCUUUGGAAACUGUGUAACUGGAGUACAGGAGGGGCAGGCGGAAUUCCUGGUGUAGCUGUGACCUGCGUAGAUAUCAGGAGGAACACCGGCGGCGAAGGCGGCCUGCUGGACUGACCCUGACGUUGAGGCUC
RNAcentral lists this ribosomal RNA (399 nucleotides) under uncultured bacterium. RNAcentral describes it as "partial 16S ribosomal RNA". It matches the Rfam family "Bacterial small subunit ribosomal RNA", at positions 338 to 754 of the family's 1533-position model. The record is from RNAcentral.